RNA transcript from Perognathus longimembris pacificus (Pacific pocket mouse), 9158 nucleotides. It is a transcript of the gene named calcium voltage-gated channel subunit alpha1 E, with no coding region annotated. The record is from RefSeq and is a predicted model, not a curated record. The transcript has 49 exons. Lineage: Eukaryota; Metazoa; Chordata; Mammalia; Rodentia; Heteromyidae.
CUGUGUCUCUCUUUCUCUCUCUCUCUUCCAACCUUUGGAUGAGUCUGUGCUGGCGGAUUUUAAAAUCCCGUCUUGGCUGUGGAAUUUCUUUGGUGGACUUGCUGGGGGGCUGGUGUUAUAAAACAUGUCACCAUAACCAGCCCUCAUCUUUUUCUUUUUCUUUUUUUUUUUUCUCUUUCUUCUUCCCUUUUUUUUUUUUUUUUUGCUUCAAAGUUCUUUUGUUUCCAUUGCCCUCUUCCUCUUUAACCUCCUCCUCCCCACCCAGUAAAUCACCAAACUGUUACCGAGAGGGCCGGAGCCUGCCUCUCUCGCUGAACUAGGUGGUGGCUCUGCCAGAAGAGGAGCUAUGUUUGAAGAGCAGCCUGCUCCACCCCUCUCCUCUCCGCUCCCUGAACACUACCACACACUGGCAUUUUGAGAGAGAGAGAGGAAAAAAAUUGCAUCCAGAAACUGAGCACCCCCAAGUCCUUUCCCCCUCCCCCCCGGUUUUCUUUCUUGAGGAAUGGAGCUUCGCAGAGGUUGAAUUUAGAUUCAACAGUUCGGAGCUGCAGCUCGCGGCCGCCUCUCCGAAGAGCUCGCCGGCUCGCAGGGCUCCCCCGAGGCGGUGGUCCGCGUGCCUGCCUGUCUGGAUGCGGCUCUGACUCUCCGUGUGUCUUGCUGCUUGUUGCUGUGUGCGGGCUGCUCGGCGAUCACCUUCUGUGUCUUCUGUCUGUUUAAACUUCAGGAUGGCUCGCUUCGGGGAGGCGGUGGUCGGCAGGCCUGGGUCCGGCGAUGGAGACUCGGACCAAAGCAGGAACCGUCAAGGAACCCCGGUGCCGGCCUCAGGGCCAGCGGCCGCCUACAAGCAAUCCAAAGCGCAGAGGGCGCGGACUAUGGCUUUGUACAACCCCAUUCCUGUCCGGCAGAACUGUUUCACCGUCAACAGAUCCCUGUUCAUUUUUGGAGAAGAUAACAUUGUCAGGAAAUACGCCAAGAAGCUCAUCGAUUGGCCGCCCUUUGAAUACAUGAUCCUGGCCACCAUUAUUGCCAAUUGUAUCGUCUUGGCCUUGGAGCAGCAUCUCCCUGAGGAUGACAAGACCCCGAUGUCCCGAAGACUGGAGAAAACAGAACCAUAUUUCAUUGGGAUUUUCUGCUUUGAAGCUGGGAUCAAAAUUGUGGCCCUGGGGUUCAUCUUCCAUAAGGGUUCAUAUCUCCGCAAUGGCUGGAAUGUCAUGGACUUUAUUGUGGUCCUCAGUGGCAUCCUGGCCACUGCAGGAACGCACUUCAACACGCAUGUGGACCUGAGGACCCUCCGGGCUGUGCGUGUCCUGAGGCCCUUGAAGCUUGUGUCAGGAAUACCUAGCCUGCAGAUUGUGCUCAAGUCCAUCAUGAAGGCCAUGGUGCCUCUCCUACAGAUUGGCCUUCUGCUCUUCUUUGCCAUCCUGAUGUUUGCCAUCAUUGGCUUGGAAUUCUACAGUGGGAAGUUACACCGAGCAUGCUUCAUGAACAAUUCAGGUAUUCUAGAAGGAUUUGACCCCCCACAUCCAUGUGGUGUGCAGGGCUGCCCAGCUGGUUAUGAAUGCAAGGACUGGAUCGGCCCCAAUGAUGGAAUCACCCAGUUUGAUAACAUCCUUUUUGCUGUGCUGACUGUUUUCCAGUGCAUCACCAUGGAAGGGUGGACCACCGUGCUGUACAAUACCAAUGAUGCCUUAGGAGCCGCCUGGAAUUGGCUGUACUUCAUCCCUCUCAUCAUCAUUGGCUCUUUCUUUGUUCUCAACCUCGUCCUGGGUGUGCUUUCCGGAGAAUUUGCCAAAGAGAGAGAAAGAGUGGAGAACCGGAGAGCAUUCAUGAAACUGCGGCGUCAGCAACAGAUUGAGCGUGAGCUGAAUGGCUACCGUGCCUGGAUAGACAAAGCAGAGGAAGUCAUGCUUGCAGAAGAAAAUAAAAAUGCCGGAACAUCAGCCUUAGAAGUGCUUCGAAGGGCAACCAUCAAAAGGAGCCGGACGGAGGCCAUGACCCGAGACUCCAGCGAUGAGCACUGCGCUGAUAUCUCUUCUGUGGGCACACCUCUUGCCAGAGCCAGUAUCAAGAGUACGAAGGUUGAUGGGGCCUCCUAUUUCCGGCACAAAGAAAGACUUCUGCGCAUCUCUAUUCGCCACAUGGUCAAAUCCCAGGUGUUUUAUUGGAUUGUCUUGAGCCUCGUGGCUCUGAACACUGCCUGUGUGGCCAUCGUCCAUCACAACCAGCCCCAGUGGCUCACUCACCUCCUCUACUAUGCAGAAUUUUUGUUUCUGGGGCUCUUCCUCUUGGAGAUGUCCCUGAAGAUGUACGGCAUGGGGCCUCGCCUUUAUUUUCAUUCUUCAUUCAACUGCUUUGAUUUUGGGGUCACAGUGGGAAGCAUCUUUGAGGUGGUCUGGGCAAUCUUCAGACCGGGUACAUCUUUUGGAAUCAGUGUCUUGCGUGCUCUCCGACUUCUAAGGAUAUUUAAAAUAACCAAGUAUUGGGCAUCCCUCCGGAACUUAGUAGUCUCCUUGAUGAGCUCCAUGAAGUCUAUCAUCAGUUUGCUCUUCCUCCUCUUCCUCUUCAUUGUUGUCUUCGCUCUCCUAGGGAUGCAGUUGUUUGGAGGCAGGUUUAACUUUAAUGAUGGAACUCCUUCAGCAAAUUUUGAUACUUUCCCUGCUGCCAUCAUGACUGUGUUCCAGAUCCUGACAGGAGAGGACUGGAAUGAAGUGAUGUACAAUGGGAUCCGCUCUCAGGGUGGGGUCAGCUCAGGGAUGUGGUCCGCCAUCUACUUCAUUGUGCUCACUUUGUUUGGAAACUACACACUACUAAAUGUGUUCUUGGCCAUUGCUGUGGACAAUUUAGCCAAUGCCCAGGAGCUAACCAAGGAUGAGCAGGAGGAAGAGGAGGCCUUCAACCAGAAACACGCACUGCAGAAGGCCAAGGAGGUCAGCCCGAUGUCUGCACCCAACAUGCCUUCUAUGGAAAGAGACAGAAGGAGAAGACACCACAUGUCGAUGUGGGAGCCGCGCAGCAGCCACCUGAGGGAGCGGAGGCGUCGGCACCACAUGUCGGUGUGGGAACAGCGCACCAGCCAGCUGAGGAGGCACAUGCAGAUGUCCAGCCAGGAGGCCCUCAACAAAGAGGAGGCCCCACCCAUGAACCCUCUCAAUCCUCUCAACCCCCUGAGUCCCCUCAACCCACUCAAUGCCCACCCCAGUCUCUACCGGAGGUCCAGGCCCAUUGAAGGUCUGACCUUAGGCCUGGGCCUAGAAAAGUGUGAAGAGGAGCGCAUCAGCCGUGGGGGUUCCCUCAAGGGAGAUGGAGGCGACCUGACCAGUGCCCUGGACAAUCAGAGGAGCCCCUUAUCCUUGGGCAAACGGGAGCCACCAUGGCUCUCCAGGCCUUGUCAUGGGAAUUGUGACCCAAGCCAGCAGGAGGCUGGGGGAGGAGAGACUGUGGUAACCUUCGAGGACAGGGCCAGGCACAGGCAGAGCCAGCGGCGAAGCCGGCAUCGUCGAGUCAGGACUGAAGGGAAGGAGUCCUCCUCAGCCUCACGGAGCAGGUCUGCCAGCCAGGAGCGGAGUCUGGAUGAAGUGGUAUCUACUGAGGGAGAGAAGGAACAUGAGUCCCGGGGCAGCCAUGGGGGCAAGGAACCGACAAUCCAUGAAGAGGAAAGAACCCAGGACUUAAGGAGGACCAACAGUCUGAUGGUUCCCAGAGGCUCUGGGCUAGCAGAAGCCCUUGAUGAAGCCAAUACACCUCUAGUCAUGCCUCAGCCUGAGCUGGAGGUAGCAAAGGAUGCAGUGUUGACUGAGCAGGAACCAGAAGGCAGUAGUGAGCAAGCGCUGCUGGGGAAUGUGCAGCUGGAUGUAGGCCGGGGAAUCAGCCAGAGUGAGCCUGACCUAUCCUGCAUCACGGCCAACACGGACAAGGCAGCCACCGAGAGCACCAGUGUCACCGUGGCCAUCCCUGACGUGGGGCCCUUAGUGGAUUCGACGGUGGUGCACAUUAGUAACAAAACUGAUGGGGAGGCCAGUCCUUUGAAGGAGGCAGAGGUCAAAGAGGAAGAAGAGGAAGAAGUAGAGAAGAAGAAGAAGAAAAAGGAGAGGCGUGAGACAGGCAAAGCCAUGGUGCCACACAGCUCCAUGUUCAUCUUCAGCACCACGAAUCCGAUUCGCAGGGCCUGCCACUACAUUGUGAACCUGCGCUACUUUGAGAUGUGUAUCCUUCUGGUGAUUGCAGCCAGCAGCAUUGCCCUGGCAGCUGAGGACCCUGUUCUGACCAACUCUGAGCGCAACAAAGUCCUGAGGUAUUUUGACUACGUUUUCACAGGCGUGUUCACCUUUGAGAUGGUUAUAAAGAUGAUAGACCAGGGCUUGAUUCUGCAGGAUGGAUCCUACUUUCGAGACCUCUGGAACAUCUUGGACUUUGUGGUGGUGGUUGGUGCAUUGGUGGCCUUUGCUCUGGCGAACGCUUUGGGAACCAACAAGGGGAGAGACAUCAAGACCAUCAAGUCUCUGAGGGUGCUCAGAGUGUUGAGGCCCCUGAAAACCAUCAAGCGCUUGCCCAAACUCAAGGCUGUAUUCGACUGUGUGGUGACUUCUUUGAAGAAUGUCUUCAAUAUACUCAUUGUCUACAAGCUCUUCAUGUUCAUCUUUGCUGUCAUCGCAGUUCAGCUUUUCAAGGGAAAGUUCUUUUACUGCACAGACAGCUCCAAGGACACAGAGAAGGAAUGCAUAGGCAACUAUGUAGACCAUGAGAAAAACAAGAUGGAGGUGAAGGGCCGAGAAUGGAAGCGCCAUGAAUUCCAUUAUGACAACAUCAUCUGGGCUCUGCUCACCCUCUUUACAGUCUCUACAGGAGAAGGAUGGCCUCAGGUUCUGCAGCAUUCUGUAGAUGUGACAGAAGAAGACCGGGGUCCAAGCCGCAGCAACCGCAUGGAGAUGUCUAUCUUUUAUGUGGUCUACUUUGUGGUCUUCCCUUUCUUCUUUGUCAAUAUCUUCGUGGCUCUCAUCAUCAUCACUUUCCAGGAACAAGGGGAUAAGAUGAUGGAGGAGUGCAGCCUGGAGAAGAAUGAGCGGGCGUGCAUUGACUUUGCCAUCAGUGCCAAACCUCUCACACGCUACAUGCCACAGAACAGGCACACUUUCCAGUACCGCGUGUGGCACUUCGUGGUUUCUCCAUCCUUUGAGUACACCAUCAUGGCCAUGAUCGCUUUGAACACUGUCGUGCUGAUGAUGAAGUAUUAUUCUGCUCCAUGUACCUAUGAACUGGCACUGAAGUACCUGAAUAUUGCCUUUACCAUGGUGUUUUCCCUGGAAUGUGUCCUAAAGGUCAUCGCAUUUGGCUUCUUGAACUACUUCCGAGAUACGUGGAAUAUCUUUGAUUUCAUCACAGUGAUUGGCAGUAUCACAGAAAUUAUCCUGACAGACAGCAAGCUGGUGAACACCAGUGGCUUCAAUAUGAGCUUUCUGAAGCUCUUCCGAGCUGCCCGCCUCAUAAAGCUUCUGCGUCAGGGCUACACCAUUCGUAUUUUACUUUGGACCUUUGUACAGUCCUUCAAGGCCCUCCCCUAUGUCUGCCUUCUGAUUGCCAUGCUCUUCUUCAUUUAUGCCAUCAUUGGAAUGCAGGUAUUUGGAAACAUCAAAUUAGAUGAGGAGAGUCACAUCAACCGGCACAACAAUUUCCGGAGUUUCUUUGGGUCCCUCAUGCUACUCUUCAGGAGUGCUACAGGUGAGGCCUGGCAAGAGAUUAUGCUGUCAUGCCUUGGGGAGAAAGGCUGUGAGCCUGACACCACAGCACCUUCGGGGCAAAAUGAGAAUGAGCGCUGCGGCACCGAUCUGGCCUAUGUUUACUUUGUCUCCUUCAUCUUCUUCUGUUCCUUCCUGAUGCUCAACCUGUUUGUGGCCGUCAUCAUGGACAACUUUGAGUACUUGACUCGAGAUUCCUCCAUCCUGGGGCCUCACCACUUGGAUGAAUUUGUCCGAGUAUGGGCAGAAUAUGAUAGAGCAGCAUGUGGCCGCAUCCAUUACACUGAGAUGUAUGAAAUGCUGACUCUCAUGUCACCACCGCUAGGCCUCGGCAAGAGAUGUCCCUCCAAAGUGGCAUAUAAGAGGUUGGUCCUGAUGAAUAUGCCUGUAGCUGAGGACAUGACUGUCCAUUUUACUUCUACACUUAUGGCCCUGAUCCGGACAGCUUUGGACAUUAAGAUUGCCAAAGGUGGUGCAGACAGGCAGCAGCUAGACUCAGAGCUACAAAAGGAGACCCUGGCUAUCUGGCCUCACCUGUCCCAGAAGAUGUUGGAUCUACUGGUGCCCAUGCCCAAAGCCUCUGACCUGACUGUGGGCAAAAUCUAUGCAGCUAUGAUGAUCAUGGACUACUAUAAGCAAAGUAAGGUGAAGAAGCAGAGGCAGCAGCUGGAAGAACAGAAAAAUGCGCCCAUGUUCCAGCGUAUGGAACCCUCAUCACUACCCCAGGAGAUCAUUGCUAAUGCUAAAUCUCUGCCUUAUCUGCAGCAGGAUGCUGUUUCAGGCUUGAGUGGCCGGAGUGGAUACCCUUCAAUGAGUCCACUCUCCCCCCAAGAAAUAUUCCAGUUGGCUUGUAUGGACCCAGCCGAUGAUGGACAAUUCCAGGAACAACAAUCACUGGAGCCAGAGGUUAGUGAAUUAAAAAGCAUGCAGUCCUCUAACCAUGGCAUCUACCUUCCUUCGGACACCCAGGAGCAUGCGGGAUCUGGGAGGGCGUCCUCUAUGCCACGUCUGACUAUGGAUCCCCAGGUGGUGACAGACCCUAGCUCCAUGAGACGUUCAUUUUCCACCAUUCGGGAUAAACGUUCAAAUUCUUCCUGGUUGGAGGAAUUCUCCAUGGAGCGAAGUAGUGAAAAUACCUACAAAUCACGCCGCCGGAGUUACCACUCUUCCCUGAGGCUGUCAGCCCAUCGCUUGAACUCUGACUCAGGCCACAAGUCUGACACCCACCGCUCAGGGGGCAGGGAGCGAGGACGAUCAAAAGAACGAAAGCAUCUUCUAUCUCCUGAUGUGUCCCGCUGCAAUUCUGAAGAGCGAGGGAACCAGGGUGACUGGGAGUCCCCAGAGCGCAGGCAGUCCAGGUCACCCAGUGAGGGCAGGUCACAAACCCCCAACAGACAGGGCACAGGUUCCCUGAGCGAAAGCUCCAUCCCCUCUAUCUCUGACACCAGCACCCCAAGACGAAGUCGUCGGCAGCUCCCACCAGUCCCACCAAAGCCUCGGCCCCUCCUCUCCUAUAGCUCUCUGAUGCGUCAUGCUGGCAGCAUCUCUCCACCAGCUGAUGGAAGUGAGGGCGGAUCGCCCCUGACCUCUCAAGUCCUAGAGAGCAACAACGCUCGUCUGACGGAGUCUUCCAACUCUCCACACUCCCAGCAGGGCCAGCACUCUUCCCCUCAACACUACAUCUCCGAGCCCUACCUGGCCCUGCACGAAGACUCCCAUGCCUCAGACUGUGGCGAGGAGGAGACACUCACCUUUGAAGCAGCGGUGGCUACGAGCCUGGGCCGUUCCAACACCAUCGGCUCAGCCCCGCCCCUGCGGCACAGCUGGCAGAUGCCCAAUGGGCACUAUCGGCGACGGAGGCGUGGGGGGCCUGGGCCCGGCAUGAUGUGUGGAGCUGUCAGUGACCUCCUGAGUGACACGGAAGAAGAUGACAAAUGCUAGAGGCUGCUCCCCCCUCCGAUGCAUGCUCUUCUCUCACAGGGAGAAAAAAAACAAGACCGAAUUGGGAAGCCAGUGCGGCCCGGGGGGGAGGAAGAGGGAGAAGGAAGAUGGAACGACCGCCAUGCAUUAUCAGAGAAGGGGAAGUAAAGUACAAAUGGCAAAAUCAGUCAAACCCACAAAAUUGCUUCAUUUCCCUUUGCAAGAUGGGCACUGCCAUAAGUUCUGCCUCUUUGCUAGGGAAAGCAAGUUUUCUCUGCUCGGCCUUAUUUCAUGCCAAAGUGCUGCUAUGGGCUGCUUCAUGUGCACAAAUUGCUUUCCUCCACUUUGGAUAUGUAGCUUUCCUGGGAAGGCCUGGAACAGGAGGACCAUUCUGAGCCAGUGAGUCUGUUAAGAUGGUGAUUUGAGAAAGCCAAUCACUGAGGCACUUUGAUGCUAUUUCAACAGUAUGCUGUUGAAAUUUCAGAUGCUGGCUGGCAGAACACAAAAUUUGCCUGCAAAGAAUAGUAUAAACACCAAAUUUACUGUGCCAGAAACCUCCCCGCACACCUAAACUCCCUGAAAACACACCAGUCCUGUAUAAAGUGCUUUAAGAUCGUAGAGUAUUGCAGAUAUGGUUACCUGAUUGACCACCUGGUUUUGCUAAUACUAAUAUAUCUAUAUAUAAACCUUUCCUAUGUUCAACUUCCCCUGGCCAAGAAAUUGGGUUUCUUUUCCCUUAGCCUGCACUUAUCCUUCUAUUAAGACCAGAGGAAGAAUUGUUAAGUCAUAAACUCAUUAUCAUAAUUAUCUUUGGUUUCCUACUGCCUCUGAAUAAAUGUGAAUGCUAACCUUCCCCUUGUAGCCAACCAGACUUCUCAUAGGUAUCAGAUCUGUCUCUUCUCUUUCCCUUGAAAAGAGGGUCUUUAGAUCUCAAAACCUAUGCUUCUCUUUGCAUCAAGCAACAACUGCAUCUUGUGAUACAUCGCACACCGCAUGAUAAAUUUGGGUACUGGAGGUCCCCUCAGAAGAUUUCUAAGUCAGAUGUCCAAUGUUAAUCUUCACCAUAUCCUUAACAUGAAAGAGGGAAGGUGGAAAAUUAAGCAAGGCAAGGAAGUGGUAUAACUCAGUUUGUGUUCAGCUACGCCUUUCAUAUCUCUAACACAGACUUAUACAUCACCAUCUUCUUUCUGCAGGAGAGCACUAGUAGGCCUUCAGACACGAGGGAGGACUCUAGCCAAGAUGCCUUGUAUGUCAGAAUCCAUAUAGAAUUAUCUUCCCAUAAAGGGAUGGUACCUUCUAGUAUCCCCUGACUAGUCUACAUGAGCCAUCAGCCAAUUGCCCAAUGGGGAACUGCACCAUUCUUCUACUACAGAUUUCACUUCUCUUCUCUGCUUGUUGUCCCUGCAGGGAACUUAGGGCACCCAAAGGAUUUCCCUGAAGUUGAACUUCAGAUGUUCUGGAUUUUGCCCUCCCUUGAUUCUGGAGCCUCAAGGACAAGAAUCCAUA